AUGCAUGCCCGCACACAAACCUCUUCCAGCCAACAGCUCUCAGCCAACUGCCUCACCUAUCAGGCAGGAAACUGUAGUGUGUUCUCCACUGGCUCCCAGAGUUGCCCAGGGUGGGUUCAGUCCCCUCCACCCACACAUGGCCUGCCGGACCCUCCACUCCCCACUUCCCUCCUUCACUCCCCCACCAGUGCCCCCUGGCUGUCCUCCCAAAUGAACUGCUUGCUGCGAAUCCUUGUCUCAGGGUCUUCUCCUGAGGAAACCCACACUAAGACAACACUGAUUGGGGUGUAUGUUUUUUGCUUUUUUGUUAAGGAUUCGCCAUAUGAGAAUAUUUACCUCUCACUCACUGGGCUGAGAACCUGUCAGAACUUCCGAAUUAUGGGAACAAAAGAAACCCAAACUAUGAGUCACAAUGUCAAUAUGGAAAACCUCCGGAGAAGGCAAUGGCACCCCACUCCAGUACACUUGCCUGGAAAAUCCCAUGGAUGGAGGAGCCUGGUAGGCUGCAGUCCAUGGGGUCCCUAAGAGUCAGACACGACUGAGCAACUUCACUUUCAUGCAUUGGAGAAGGAAAUGGCAACCCACUCCAGUGUUCUUGCCUGGAGAAUCCCAGGGAUGGGGGAGCCUGGUGGGCUGCCGUCUAUGGGGUCACACAGAGUUGGACACGACUGAAGCGACUUAGCAGCAGCAGCAGCAGCAUGGAAAACCUCAAAAUUGUUUUUUCUUUAAGUUGCUCAUCUAUGUUUUUUUUGCUGUUGUUAUAGUAGCCAGAGGGAGAUGUAGGAGAUGCGGGUUUGAUCCCUGGGUUGGGAAGAUCCCCUGGAAGAAGAAAUGGCAACCCACUCCAGUAUUCUUGCCUGGGAAAUCCCGUGGACAGAGGAGCCUGAUGGGCUACAGUCCAUGGGGUCAUAAAGAGUCGGACACAACUGAGCAUGCACGCACAUGGUAGCCAGAAUUGACUAAAACACUCAUCUUUGACAAAACAAGGAGACAUCUGAGGCUCCAAACCAUACAAGACUGAUGGCAGUGAUCCCCAGGGCAGUGAGGCUCCGUAAGGACAUGGGCAGGAGUGGAGUCAGCACACCCAUGUCAUGGGAGAAGAUCUCAGGUGGGGCUGGUGAGGCAGAGGGCUCAGAGUAGACGGUGAACAAAGCCAAACCUCAGCUCGAAGAGCAGCAUGCAGAGAAUGAAGGCAGAGCAAAGAGGGCAAAGCUCAGGGAAGGCGCAGGCAGAAAUAACAUGUAUUUUCAGGAGAAAGCCUGCCAGCGAGCUCAGAGAGAGGAGGACUGUGCUACGAGCAGCCUUCCACCUGCCUAUUUUUUCACUGAGAAGAAAUAAAGGCUAAAUUCACUUGCUUAAUGCCA
This 1364-nucleotide long non-coding RNA is filed under the name Bos indicus x Bos taurus (hybrid cattle). RNAcentral describes it as "lncRNA (ENSBIXG00005026554.1)". Lineage: Eukaryota; Metazoa; Chordata; Mammalia; Artiodactyla; Bovidae. The record is from RNAcentral.